CCUACGGGUGGCAGCAGUGAGGAAUAUUGGUCAAUGGGCGAGAGCCUGAACCAGCCAAGUCGCGUGAGGGAGUACUGCCCUAUGGGUUGUAAACCUCUUUUGUCGGGGAGCAAAAGCCGGACGUGUCCGGCUGUGAGAGUCCCCGAAGAAAAAGCAUCGGCUAACUCCGUGCCAGCAGCCGCGGUAAUACGGGGGAUGCGCGCGUUAUCCGGUUUUAUUGGGUUUAAGGGGUGCGCAGGCGGAUUUUUAAGUCAGCGGUAACAUCGUGGGGCUCAACCACAUCCAGCCGUUGAAACUGGGGAUCUAGAGUGUUCGAGAGGUAUGCGGAAUUCGUGGUGUAGCGGUGAAAUGCAUAGAUAGCACGCAGAACCCCGAUUGCGAAGGCAGCAUACCGGUGAACAACUGACGCUCAGGCACGAAAGCGUGGGUAUCGAACAGGAUUAGAUACCCGUGUAGUC
Molecule: ribosomal RNA, 458 nt
Filed under: uncultured bacterium
Lineage: Bacteria
Description: partial 16S ribosomal RNA
Rfam family: Bacterial small subunit ribosomal RNA
Source: RNAcentral